CCCUUAGAUGUUCUGGGCCGCACGCGCGCUACACUGAUGCAUUCAACGAGCACACGCUUGGCCGAGAGGUCAGGCUAAUCUUUGAACGUGCAUCGUGCUGGGGAUAGAUGAUUGCAAUUAUUCAUCUUCAACGAGGAAUUCCUAGUAAACGCAAGUCAUCAGCUUGCAUUGAUUACGUCCCUGCCCUUUGUACACACCGCCCGUCGCACCUACCGAUUGAAUGGUCCGGUGAAAUUCUCGGACGUGAACGACAGAUGUUCAUUCGGAUGUCGUUUGUGAAAGUUAAUUAAACCUUACCAUUUAGAGGAAGGUGAAGUCGUAACG
RNAcentral lists this ribosomal RNA (324 nucleotides) under uncultured eukaryote. RNAcentral's name for it is "partial 18S ribosomal RNA". It matches the Rfam family "Eukaryotic small subunit ribosomal RNA", at positions 1470 to 1796 of the family's 1831-position model. The record is from RNAcentral.